AAAGUCUUUCAGUCAUUCCAACAAGUUGACUUUGUACUCAGUCACUUUCCAUAGUUCAUUAGAUCCUAAUGCUGUCGAAAGCCUGAAACUUAUAUUUGAAGCCCAUAUACAGUGGAAUUAGACAAAUGUGCCGAGAUGAGGUAUUAUUGCUCAUUGACCAUAGGAUCUUUUCCGAAUCUUCAAUUUUGAUGGUGUAACCUGUGACAGCAUGUUUGUUAUUAUGACUGUUUCUACAUCCGUUUAGAAGGCAAUCCAGCUGAGAGUUUCAGUUUCAGUUACAUGAGGAGGAGUGUGAAGCGAAUAACCUGCCAUAUGUGAAUGUACCAGAUCUGCUUGAUGAGAGUCAAAUGCCUUACUGAAUGCAUCACCUGCAUCACCCAAAUGAUAAAG
Long non-coding RNA from Daphnia pulicaria, 390 nucleotides. RefSeq lists it as uncharacterized. The transcript is spliced from 3 exons. The record is from RefSeq and is a predicted model, not a curated record. Lineage: Eukaryota; Metazoa; Arthropoda; Branchiopoda; Diplostraca; Daphniidae.